AGCAGCCGCGGUAAUUCCAGCUCCAAUAGCGUAUAUUAAAGUUGUUGCAGUUAAAAAGCUCGUAGUUGAAUUUCGAGAUCAGUACGCUGGUCGUGCCUUCGGUAUGCACUGGUGUCACUGGUUUCUCCCUUCUGAAGAACCGUCAUGUCAUUAAGUUGGUGUUUUAGGGAAUCAGGACUGUUACUUUGAAAAAAU
Molecule: ribosomal RNA, 195 nt
Filed under: uncultured Glomus
Lineage: Eukaryota; Fungi; Glomeromycota; Glomeromycetes; Glomerales; Glomeraceae
Description: partial 18S ribosomal RNA
Rfam family: Eukaryotic small subunit ribosomal RNA
Source: RNAcentral